This 253-nucleotide ribosomal RNA is filed under the name uncultured bacterium. Its description in RNAcentral is "partial 16S ribosomal RNA". It matches the Rfam family "Bacterial small subunit ribosomal RNA", at positions 524 to 776 of the family's 1533-position model. The record is from RNAcentral.
CACGUAGGGCGCAAGCGUUGUCCGGAAUUAUUGGGCGUAAAGAGCUCGUAGGCGGUUUGUCGCGUCGGCUGUGAAAACCUGGGGCUCAACCCCGGGCCUGCAGCCGAUACGGGCAAACUAGAAUUCGGUAGGGGAGACUGGAAUUCCUGGUGUAGCGGUGAAAUGCGCAGAUAUCAGGAGGAACACCGGUGGCGAAGGCGGGUCUCUGGGCCGAUAUUGACGCUGAGGAGCGAAAGCGUGGGGAGCGAACAGG